This 342-nucleotide unclassified non-coding RNA is filed under the name soil metagenome. RNAcentral's name for it is "partial contains 5.8S ribosomal RNA, internal transcribed spacer 2, and large subunit ribosomal RNA". The stretch from base 1 to 120 matches the Rfam family "5.8S ribosomal RNA", at positions 35 to 154 of the family's 154-position model. The record is from RNAcentral.
GAUGAAGAACGCAGCGAAAUGCGAUAAGUAGUGUGAAUUGCAGACUUUAGUGAAUCAUCGAAUCUUUGAACGCACAUUGCGCCCGCCAGCACUCUGGCGGGCAUGCCUGUUCGAGCGUCAUUUCAACCAUCAAGCCCCCAGGGGCUUGUGCUGGGGCCCUGCGGCUGCCCGCAGGCCCUGAAAACCAGUGGCGGGCUCGCUAGUCACACCGAGCGCAGUAGCACAUCUCGCUCAGGGCGUGCGGCGGGCUCCUGCCGUGAAACCCCCCACUGUAACCCCAAAGGUUGACCUCGGAUCAGGUAGGAAUACCCGCUGAACUUAAGCAUAUCAAUAAGCGGAGGA